This 460-nucleotide ribosomal RNA is filed under the name uncultured bacterium. RNAcentral's name for it is "partial 16S ribosomal RNA". It matches the Rfam family "Bacterial small subunit ribosomal RNA", at positions 338 to 795 of the family's 1533-position model. The record is from RNAcentral.
CCUACGGGAGGCAGCAGUGAGGAAUAUUGGUCAAUGGGCGCGAGCCUGAACCAGCCAAGUAGCGUGAAGGAUGACUGCCCUACGGGUUGUAAACUUCUUUUAUAAAGGAAUAAAGUGUGGCACGUGUGCCCUUUUGUAUGUACUUUAUGAAUAAGGAUCGGCUAACUCCGUGCCCGCAGCCGCGGUAAUACGGAGGAUCCGAGCGUUAUCCGGAUUUAUUGGGUUUAAAGGGAGCGUAGGUGGGUUUUUAAGUCAGUUGUGAAAGUUUGCGGCUCAACCGUAGAAUUGCAAUUGAUACUGGCAGUCUUGAGUACAGUUGAGGUAGGCGGAAUUCGUGGUGUAGCGGUGAAAUGCUUAGAUAUCACGAAGAACCCCGAUUGCGAAGGCAGCUUACUGGACUGUAACUGACAUUGAUGCUCGAAAGUGUGGGUAUCAAACAGGAUUAGAUACCCUUGUAGUC